GUUUCUUGGCCCUGCAGCCCAGUUGGCUGCAGUUCGGAUUUACUUCCUCCUGCCUCCCGCCAGGUGCUGGGCCUCGUCUUCAUCCCCGGUGGCGGUGGGGAGCUGCCGCCGACGAGCAGGGCGGGCACGACGAGCAGCACGAGCACGAGCGGAGGCAGGAAACAAACUGAUGGCGACGGCUGUUCCCGAUUCUCCUGUGGAUGGCCCCGUGAAAAGCUCCGCAGGGUUGAAGACGGCGGCGGGGCAAGAGGAGGUGGUAGCCAUCGUUGACCCUCGGAAGGCGUUUCUGAUCAAGCUCGCACUUGAUGUUUUCUUUGUGCUGUAUUUGAUGUUUUACAUUGGUAUCUUGGCGGUGCUUGUCAAACUUGCGAACAACUGGUGGGAUCUAUGGCCAGGUGUAUUUGUCGUAUCGCCUCUCUGUAUAGGAAUGCUCUGCCUGACGCCCAAGAUGAAAGUGGUGUAUAUUCAGCUCUAUGCCACGAAGUGGCCUCUAAGAAAUGAUGAUCAUUGCACGGAACUUCC
Long non-coding RNA from Panicum virgatum (switchgrass), 522 nucleotides. RefSeq lists it as uncharacterized. The record is from RefSeq and is a predicted model, not a curated record. Lineage: Eukaryota; Viridiplantae; Streptophyta; Magnoliopsida; Poales; Poaceae. The transcript has 3 exons.